RNAcentral lists this ribosomal RNA (497 nucleotides) under uncultured bacterium. RNAcentral's name for it is "partial 16S ribosomal RNA". It matches the Rfam family "Bacterial small subunit ribosomal RNA", at positions 28 to 507 of the family's 1533-position model. The record is from RNAcentral.
GACGAACGCUGGCGGCGUGCCUAAUACAUGCAAGUUGAGCGCUGAAGGUUGGUACUUGUACCGACUGGAUGAGCAGCGAACGGGUGAGUAACGCGUGGGGAAUCUGCCUUUGAGCGGGGGACAACAUUUGGAAACGAAUGCUAAUACCGCAUAAAAACUUUAAACACAAGUUUUAAGUUUGAGAGAUGCAAUUGCAUCACUCAAAGAUGAUCCCGCGUUGUAUUAGCUAGUUGGUGAGGUAAAGGCUCACCAAGGCGAUGAUACAUAGCCGACCUGAGAGGGUGAUCGGCCACAUUGGGACUGAGACACGGCCCAAACUCCUACGGGAGGCAGCAGUAGGGAAUCUUCGGCAAUGGACGAAAGUCUGACCGAGCAACGCCGCGUGAGUGAAGAAGGUUUUCGGAUCGUAAAACUCUGUUGGUAGAGAAGAACGUUGGUGAGAGUGGAAAGCUCAUCAAGUGACGGUAACUACCCAGAAAGGGACGGCUAACUACGUG